CGGGCAUGCAGCAAAAACAAACCCGUGAAUUAGAGUAUGAUGAAGUUUUGUGUAGUUGCAACAACACUGUUUUUUGUUGCGGUGUUAUCGGCGCGGCACGGCUCACCACGUGGCGGUGUCAGUGUUGGGAUUUGGAAGAGAUAAAGCUUUGGGUGGUACUAAUUUGUGUUUUUUUUUGUGCUGGGAGCUUUUUGAAGUCUGUGAGGUAGCUUGGAUGUUCAGGCCACUUUGAUAGUCCAAGAUGCUGUCUGGUACUAAUGUACGCAAGAAGCGACCAGCAGCUGUUACUUCUGGACGAAGGAGGAAAGUGGCGAAAACUGUUCAGGAUCUCUAUUUUGUGGAAAGAAUAUUAGCCCACCAGUGGAAAGACGGCAACAUGAUGUACCUCAUCAAGUGGCAAGGUUUCAGGAUGCCUACGUGGGAGCCAGCGCAGAACCUGAAUCCUGUGAUCCUUCAAAAGUACCACGGUAAGAGCCAUACAUUAUGCAUUCCAGUUAGCUAAACAAAUCUACGGCUUGUGUUUUUUAUUGGGUUUAGGUGCAUGCAAUUGUGACUUAAAAGAGCGUUUAAUUUUUCAGUCGUUGCUUGUUUUGUUGUGCUUUAUCCCAUGUUUGGUUUUUGAUGGACUCCAUCCUUUAUAAGAGCUUUCUACAUCAAUUUAUGAUGCGAUUUUGUUUUCUUGAACGCUGCGAAAGUCAGUGGGUGGUUUCCCCAGGGCGUGUGACUGGUCUGCCCAUUGCGUGUCAUAUGAGCCAAAUGAUGUGGCAGUCGGGUGCCCCUAAAACCAAAAUCAUUAAUUGCCGUGUGUG
This 809-nucleotide long non-coding RNA is filed under the name Amphibalanus amphitrite. Its description in RNAcentral is "uncharacterized LOC122376233, transcript variant X3". Lineage: Eukaryota; Metazoa; Arthropoda; Thecostraca; Balanomorpha; Balanidae. The record is from RNAcentral.